Molecule: ribosomal RNA, 253 nt
Filed under: uncultured bacterium
Lineage: Bacteria
Description: partial 16S ribosomal RNA
Rfam family: Bacterial small subunit ribosomal RNA
Source: RNAcentral
UACGUAGGGUGCGAGCGUUGUCCGGAAUUACUGGGCGUAAAGAGCUCGUAGGUGGUUUGUCGCGUUGUUCGUGAAAACCUGAGGCUUAACCUUGGGCGUGCGGGCGAUACGGGCAGACUGGAGUACUGCAGGGGAGACUGGAAUUCCUGGUGUAGCAGUGAAAUGCGUAGAUAUCAGGAGGAAUACCGAUGGCGAAGGCAGGUCUCUGGGCUGACACUGACGCUCAUGCACGAAAGCGUGGGGAGCAAACAGG